UUGCUAAUACGUAAUGAAUAGGGGCUAAAUUAUAAAAUUAGGGUGUCAUAUCUUCUGUGCUUUUGCUCAUAUAAAAGAAUUGGGGGCUAAAUAAUAAAAUUAGGGUGCCAUAGUAGAAUUAGUGAAAUUUGAUGAAAAUACUAUAGAAUUGCUUAUAUACAGUAUAGCACUUCUUACUCAUGCUAUCCUACUCUUUGUCUCUUACUUAGUUUUUAUAAUAAAUUAAAAGAAACAUGUAAUCAAAUAUUCUGUUAAAUGUGUUACAACUCUCAAUCUUAUUGCACGACAGAUAUUUUACUGAAUAAUUUUAAUUUCGUAUAUACCCAUUCCAUAUGAAAAUAAUUAUUACUUAUGAUGUAUUACACGUUAUACUAAUCUUUCACAGUGCUAACAUUACACUACAAAUUAUAUUCAAUUACACUUUUCCAAAUUAUUUCAGUUAUUGAUUUUUGGGGGUUGUUAUAAGUAAUAAUAAACAAUUCAUGAAAAAAUUUUUAUGCUCAGACAUGUCUAUUAUGUCAACUUAGCAAAAAUUACAAAUAUCUAAAA
Molecule: long non-coding RNA, 549 nt
Filed under: Coffea arabica (coffee)
Lineage: Eukaryota; Viridiplantae; Streptophyta; Magnoliopsida; Gentianales; Rubiaceae
Description: long non-coding RNA (CARA_LNC004782)
Source: RNAcentral